RNAcentral lists this ribosomal RNA (253 nucleotides) under uncultured bacterium. RNAcentral's name for it is "partial 16S ribosomal RNA". It matches the Rfam family "Bacterial small subunit ribosomal RNA", at positions 524 to 776 of the family's 1533-position model. The record is from RNAcentral.
UACGUAGGGUGCGAGCGUUAAUCGGAAUUACUGGGCGUAAAGCGUGCGCAGGCGGUUUUGUAAGCCAGAUGUGAAAGCCCCGGGCUUAACCUGGGAAUGGCAUUUGGGACUGCAAGGCUUGAGUGCGGCAGAGGAGACUGGAAUUCCUGGUGUAGCAGUGAAAUGCGUAGAUAUCAGGAGGAAUACCGAUGGCGAAGGCAGGUCUCUGGGCUGACACUGACGCUCAUGCACAAAAGCGUGGGGAGCAAACAGG